GAUUGAGACUAAGCCAUGCGAGUCAACCCGCAAGGGUGGCGGACGGCUCAGUAACACGUAGUCAACCUGCCCUAGGGACGUGGAUAACCACGGGAAACUGUGGAUAAACCGCGGUAGGUCAUUGUUUCUGGAAUGGGCAAUGGCUUAAAUCUAUAUGGCCCUAGGAUGGGACUACGGACGAUCAGGUUGUUGGCGGGGUAAUGGCCCACCAAGCCUAUAACCGGUACGGGCUCUGAGAGGAGGAGCCCGGAGAUGGGCACUGAGACAAGGGCCCAGGUCCUAUGGGACGCAGCAGGCGCGAAACCUUCGCAAUAGGCGAAAGCCUGACGAGGUUAAUCCGAGUGUUUUCUGCUAAAGGAAUCUUUUAUCAGCUCUAGAUAGGCUGAUGAAUAAGGGGUGGGCAAGCCUGGUGUCAGCCGCCGCGGUAAUACCAGCACCCCGAGUGGUCGGGAUGAUUAUUGGGCCUAAAGCAUCCGUAGCCGGUCCUACAAGUUUUUCGUUAAAUCCACCUGCUUAACAGUUGGGCUGCGGGAGAUACUGUAGGACUAGGAGGCGGGAGAGGCGAGGGGUAUUCCUU
This 577-nucleotide ribosomal RNA is filed under the name uncultured archaeon. RNAcentral's name for it is "bacterial SSU rRNA". It matches the Rfam family "Archaeal small subunit ribosomal RNA", at positions 36 to 623 of the family's 1478-position model. The record is from RNAcentral.